Molecule: long non-coding RNA, 181 nt
Organism: Acipenser ruthenus (sterlet)
Lineage: Eukaryota; Metazoa; Chordata; Actinopteri; Acipenseriformes; Acipenseridae
Exons: 3
Source: RefSeq, a predicted model, not a curated record
GCCGUAUGCAGAAUCUUCUUUCAUAAAAUGGUCAACACGUUUGAAGACACAGAGUCGAAGGAUGGGGUUCAAAUUGAUGACCUUGAUGAUCAAAUAUCAAAUAUCCACAGGAACGAUGCGAUCAGCUAUACAGGGGAGAAAAAGGAUGAACUGCCGAUUGUCAAUGGAAAGCUGCAGCAGC